RNAcentral lists this transfer RNA (61 nucleotides) under Kalasha nativa. RNAcentral describes it as "tRNA-Val". Lineage: Eukaryota; Metazoa; Arthropoda; Insecta; Hemiptera; Cicadellidae. The record is from RNAcentral.
UAGACUGUAGCUUAUUUAAAGUUUUUCAUUUACACUGAUUAGAAGAUCAUUUCCGGUCUUU